GCAGAACGCGAAGAACCUUACCAGGGCUUGAAUGCAUUAUGACAGGGGUGGAGACACCUUUUCCUUCGGGCAUUUUUGCAAGGUGCUGCAUGGUUGUCGUCAGCUCGUGCCGUGAGGUGUCAGGUUAAGUCCUAUAACGAGCGCAACCCCUACCGUUAGUUGCCAGCGGGUCAUGCCGGGACUCUAGCGGGACUGCCGGUGCAAACCGUGAGGAAGGUGGGGAUGACGUCAAAUCAUCACGGCCCUUACGUCCGUGGGCCACACACGUGCUACAAUGGCCGGUACAGAGAGCGGCCACGCCGACAAGGCGGAGCGAAUCUAACGAAACCGGUCACUAGUUCGAGUCGGGUCUGCAACCCGACCCCGUGAAGCUGGAAUCGCUAGUAAUCGGAUA
Molecule: ribosomal RNA, 394 nt
Filed under: uncultured bacterium
Lineage: Bacteria
Description: bacterial SSU rRNA
Rfam family: Bacterial small subunit ribosomal RNA
Source: RNAcentral